RNAcentral lists this ribosomal RNA (253 nucleotides) under uncultured bacterium. Its description in RNAcentral is "partial 16S ribosomal RNA". It matches the Rfam family "Bacterial small subunit ribosomal RNA", at positions 524 to 776 of the family's 1533-position model. The record is from RNAcentral.
UACGUAGGUGGCAAGCGUUGUCCGGAUUUACUGGGCGUAAAGGGCGUGCAGGCGGUUUGUUAAGUCUAGGGUGAAAGCUCCCGGCUCAACUGGGAGAGGUCCUUGGAUACUGGCAGACUUGAGGAGAGUAGGGGCGAGCGGAAUUCCGGGUGUAGCGGUGGAAUGCGUAGAGAUCCGGAAGAACACCGGGGGCGAAGGCGGCUCGCUGGGCAUGGUCCGACGCUGAGGCGCGAAAGCGUGGGGAGCGAACAGG